UACGGAGGGGGCUAGCGUUGUUCGGAAUUACUGGGCGUAAAGCGCACGUAGGCGGCUUUGCAAGUUAGAGGUGAAAGCCCGGGGCCCAACUCCGGAAUUGCCUUUAAAACUGCAUCGCUAGAAUUGUGGAGAGGUAAGUGGAAUUCCGAGUGCAGAGGUGAAAUUCGUAGAUAUUCGGAAGGAACACCAGUGGCGAAGGCGGCCGCCUGGGCAGUAACUGACGCUGAUGCGCGAGAGCGUGGGGAGCAAACAGG
This 254-nucleotide ribosomal RNA is filed under the name uncultured bacterium. RNAcentral's name for it is "partial 16S ribosomal RNA". It matches the Rfam family "Bacterial small subunit ribosomal RNA", at positions 524 to 776 of the family's 1533-position model. The record is from RNAcentral.